GGAUGUGAGGGUGAUGUGGCUGUGACAUCUGACAUCUGUCACCCCACGGAUAAAGGGAGCUGAUUCGGCUGCUCUAGCUGGCUGGGGGAGGGUCCCCUUCCUCCCUCACAGCUCCGUGUGUGUCCCUCCCCUCCCCAAGUGGCACACUUGGCCAGAGAGGACAACACCCCAAGAGAGGAGGACCGUUCCUCAAUCAAGGGUCUAAAGUAGCUGUGCACCCUGCUAGAACCUCCAAACAAGCUCUCAGAAUAAAAAGUCUAAGCAGGACAAUGUCCAUCCUGUGGAAGGCAUGGACCAUGCUGUGUGCCCAGUGAU
RNAcentral lists this small nuclear RNA (315 nucleotides) under Octodon degus (degu). RNAcentral describes it as "7SK RNA (ENSODEG00000023031.1)". It matches the Rfam family "7SK RNA". Rfam says of the family: 7SK was discovered as an abundant small nuclear RNA in the mid-70s but a possible function has only recently been suggested. Two independent studies have found that 7SK RNA binds the CDK9/cyclin T complex (known as elongation factor P-TEFb). P-TEFb activates transcription by phosphorylating the C-terminal domain of RNA polymerase II. Lineage: Eukaryota; Metazoa; Chordata; Mammalia; Rodentia; Octodontidae. The record is from Rfam by way of RNAcentral.